CCUACGGGUGGCAGCAGUGGGGAAUAUUGCACAAUGGGCGCAAGCCUGAUGCAGCCAUGCCGCGUGUAUGAAGAAGGCCUUCGGGUUGUAAAGUACUUUCAGCGGGGAGGAAGGCGAUAAGGUUAAUAACCUUGUCGAUUGACGUUACCCGCAGAAGAAGCACCGGCUAACUCCGUGCCAGCAGCCGCGGUAAUACGGAGGGUGCAAGCGUUAAUCGGAAUUACUGGGCGUAAAGCGCACGCAGGCGGUCUGUCAAGUCGGAUGUGAAAGCCCCGGGCUCAACCUGGGAAGUGCAUUGGAAACUGGGAGACUUGAAUACGGGAGAGGGCAGUGGAAUUCCUAGUGUAGGAGUGAAAUCCGUAGAUAUUAGGAGGAACACCGGUGGCGAAGGCGGCUGCCUGGACCGAUAUUGACGCUGAGACGCGAAAGCGUGGGGAGCA
Molecule: ribosomal RNA, 440 nt
Filed under: uncultured bacterium
Lineage: Bacteria
Description: bacterial SSU rRNA
Rfam family: Bacterial small subunit ribosomal RNA
Source: RNAcentral